Molecule: transfer RNA, 74 nt
Filed under: Myxococcales bacterium
Lineage: Bacteria; Pseudomonadati; Myxococcota; Myxococcia; Myxococcales
Description: tRNA-Leu
Rfam family: tRNA
About the family: Transfer RNA (tRNA) molecules are approximately 80 nucleotides in length.
Source: RNAcentral
GGCCAUGUAGCCCAACUGGCAGAGGCGCUCGAUUCAGAAUCGGGAGCGUGGGAGUUCGAAUCUCCCCGUGGCCA